Molecule: unclassified non-coding RNA, 450 nt
Filed under: Hevea brasiliensis (rubber tree)
Lineage: Eukaryota; Viridiplantae; Streptophyta; Magnoliopsida; Malpighiales; Euphorbiaceae
Source: RNAcentral
GUAAGUUUCAACUUUUUUCAUCGGAGGGUUGUCUAUUGAUUCACUUAAUUGUUCUGAAAUGGUAGUGAACUAUUAUGACUGGCUAUGCUGGAAGGCUUAUGAUUAAGAGUUUGUUUAUGAAGUAGCACUUUUAUCUGACAAGAAGUAAUUUGUUUUCCCUUCUUCUUUCAUUUGUUUCUUUUGGAUUUUGAGAAAUUUAGCUAGUUGAUUGAUUUGCAAUAUUUAAUUUACUCUUGUUUUGGAGUAGGUGGGGAGGAAUUAAAUUAAAUUCCCUUGCCUGUUAAAAUGAGAAAGGAAAAGGAGAGAAGUGGGUGAAAUGAAGGAAAAAUUUGUAUACUUGCAAUUUCCUUCCAAAUUGGAGAGAAAACAGGGUAAAAGCAAAAGAAAUGAGGGGAAAUAGUUACUAGUUUGCUACUUGUACCCUUUAUUUUAGAAGUUCAUUAAGGUAAG